Molecule: antisense RNA, 194 nt
Filed under: Enterobacter roggenkampii
Lineage: Bacteria; Pseudomonadati; Pseudomonadota; Gammaproteobacteria; Enterobacterales; Enterobacteriaceae
Description: Yersinia sRNA 276
Rfam family: Yersinia sRNA 276
Source: RNAcentral
ACCGACAUCAGGGAUUCGUUCUGCGAGCCGUUACCCACCGCCAGGUAAGAGUGCAUUCCCAGCUCUUUCAUCUGCUGUUCGCCGAUGACGCGGGUAAUCACGUUUUUGCUGUAGGCGUCGGCCAGCUGGCGUGCCUGAGAGGCGAGGUAAGCGGCGUUACAGAUGUUCGGCGGCAUGUUGCCGAGAUCUUUUGC